UUCCUAGUGGUCCAGUGAUUAAGACUUUGCACUCCCAAUGCAGAGGGCACAGGUUUGAUCCCUGGUUGGGGAA
Transfer RNA from Ovis aries (sheep), 73 nucleotides. It matches the Rfam family "tRNA". From Rfam's summary of the family: Transfer RNA (tRNA) molecules are approximately 80 nucleotides in length. Their secondary structure includes four short double-helical elements and three loops (D, anti-codon, and T loops). Further hydrogen bonds mediate the characteristic L-shaped molecular structure. tRNAs have two regions of fundamental functional importance: the anti-codon, which is responsible for specific mRNA codon recognition, and the 3' end, to which the tRNAs corresponding amino acid is attached (by aminoacyl-tRNA synthetases). tRNAs cope with the degeneracy of the genetic code in two manners: having more than one tRNA (with a specific anti-codon) for a particular amino acid; and 'wobble' base-pairing, i.e. permitting non-standard base-pairing at the 3rd anti-codon position. Lineage: Eukaryota; Metazoa; Chordata; Mammalia; Artiodactyla; Bovidae. The record is from Rfam.